RNAcentral lists this ribosomal RNA (390 nucleotides) under uncultured bacterium. Its description in RNAcentral is "bacterial SSU rRNA". It matches the Rfam family "Bacterial small subunit ribosomal RNA", at positions 362 to 769 of the family's 1533-position model. The record is from RNAcentral.
UAUUGGACAAUGGGGGCAACCCUGAUCCAGCAAUGCCGCGUGAGUGAUGAAGGCCUUAGGGUUGUAAAGCUCUUUUACCCGGGAUGAUAAUGACAGUACCCGUAUAAGAAGCCCCGGCAAACUUCGUGCCAGCAGCCGCGGUAAUACGAAGGGGGCUAGCGUUGUUCGGAAUUACUGGGCGUAAAGCGCGCGUAGGCGGUGGUCCAUGUCAGAGGUGAAAGCCUGGAGCUCAACUCCAGAAUUGCCUUUGAAACGGGAUCGCUAGAGUCCGAGAGAGGAUGGCGGAAUUCCUAGUGUAGAGGUGAAAUUCGUAGAUAUUAGGAAGAACACCGGUGGCGAAGGCGGCCAUCUGGCUCGGUACUGACGCUCAGGCGCGAAAGCGUGGGGAGC